UCAGCGCAGACGACGCCGCGCACGCCUUCGCGCACGCCGCGCCCGCGGACUCGGGACAACUCACUUACGAUGAAUUCAUCGCAUACGCUCAAAAGAAAGCGGAAUUCUCGUUCAUUUUCGCAUCGGAAGGGCAUCACAAGCCCAAGUCCCAGUGAGAGUCGCCUCACAUCCCGACCGUCUGCAGCCAAGUGCCCUAGAGAUGCAACAAUACUCAGAUUUAAGGCCGAGAUACGUAAACAUCACUUAGAUUUACACUUAUACACAGUUCGUGUACAAAGAAACAACGAAUUCUAAGGAAUGAACUGAAAAAAAAUGGUUUAUAUGCUCUCAUUUUUUAAACCUGUGUCUGUUUUAUGAUUUUUUAUAGAGGACAGUCGCUCUUGUGGAUGCGAGACAACGCUAUAUACAACCUUUAGCGCUAUCUAGCUUCCACAAUGGCAAUAAUCGUACUAAAAGCAGGGCGAAUCCCCGCGAAGGCAAGCGUUUGUGUGAUCCACGAAUGCUUGUCCAGGGUCUAGGUGUCCUUUGUGCGUGUGACUUAAUUGUUUGUAAAGCCCCGAUACGAAGUCUAAACUCCUUAGUAAGAGAGUCGUUUUGCUUUAAAAAAAAGCUUUAUUGGAGAGCAUAAUAUAGGUGUGUGAGU
Long non-coding RNA from Trichoplusia ni (cabbage looper), 643 nucleotides. RefSeq lists it as uncharacterized. The transcript has 2 exons. NCBI's taxonomy places the organism in Eukaryota, Metazoa, Arthropoda, Insecta, Lepidoptera, Noctuidae. The record is from RefSeq and is a predicted model, not a curated record.